UUUUUUCAGGGAGAAGAUUUAGAGACAGUUUUCUUGCUCUAUGAACCUCCAGGAUGUGGGCCCUGAACUUUUGAAUAAAUAUGUUGGAGAAAGUGAGCUGCAACUGCGGACAAUAUUUAGCCGUGCAAGAAUGUGUUCGCCAUGUAUACUUUUCUUUGAUGAGGUUUGUGGUUCUCUCUUUUUGACAGUUAACUUGUUAUUGCUUUAUAUAUAUAGACCUUAUAAAUCUUUAUUAUUUCACUGUAUCUAACAGUGUAGUUAACUUGGUAUUUCUGGGAUGAACCUCAGUUAUAUAUAUAAUGCUUAUCUCUGUCAUAUAAUUUUUGGAGUUAUUUCGUCUUUACUGUUUUAGAUGCUUUCAAAAAUCUUUCUUUCUGAAGACGGACACAGCUGUUACGAGUCAACACUGAUAUGCGAUGUUCAACACGAUACUGAAGUAUUAGUUUACUGGAAAACAGAACACGUUUGUGUGUAUAGCAAUUAAGAAAGUGAUAAUGAUCUGUAAUUUACUAGCUAGACAAAAGUAAAUAUAAUCUUGAUUAUUUUGCUCUCUUUUGUACACAUAAAGAUGAGUUCCUUUUAGGUAUCCAAAUGAAUGUUCGACACCAGUGGGCAUGAGUUUUGCGUCCUCAAGUGUCCUACAGCAAAUUUUUCUGUCUAAGAAGUGUUCUAUGAAUCCAAACUCUUUAAAGUUUGUUCCCUUAAUUAUUGAGAGGUGGACGCUAUAACAACUAAGCAGGAGAGCGGAGAGGCAUGGGUUGUUCAGUGGCUAUUGAAGCAGGUACAAUAAUCCUGAAAGGCAAUCUCAAAUCAUUUAUAGCAACUGGUGGGAGUUCAGAAGUUCAGAUGCGCCACCACCAUCGAUUAUCAACAAUAUUCACUUUGAGCAAGCAUGAGCUACAAUCACACCAUUAUCCAUUGAGAAAAUUCGUUGGUACCAGAAUUUUGGAGAGGAAGAACAAAAGACUCCCCGUGAACACUGUGUUGAAGGAUUCAUGAACUUUGCAGCACCGAGAAGUUGAGCUACGAGUGUCCCAUGGAAGAGUAUUUUAACUGUCAGAGAAGGCCUAAAGAACUAAGAAAUGAAACAUAAGACUCAGCAGAACAAGAAAUUAUGAGAGGAAAACAAAUUUUGACAGUGAUUUUAACUUUUGUGUCCUGUACUUUAAUUAUUACUAGAACUUGAUGAUGUUGGGCAGGAUACACUCUCCCAAUGGCAUUACUCAUUGUCAUCUAUACAACAAAGCUAUUUCUUAGCUCAACUUCACGUUCAGGCUUAAACGAUUGACUUGUUUACAUAAAGGAGUUGGUCUAAGCACAAAGGUGGCUGGUGAUCUCAAGCCUUGUAUCAUUUGUUUGACCCAGUCUUCGUCUUCAUCAAUGUCUAUUCUGAUCUUUCUCAAAUCUUUCUUCCGCGCUUCUUCUUCAAGCAUGUAAGCGUCCCCAAACUGUCAAGAAAUGUUUGUUUCACAAUUCUGUCCUCCAAACUGUGGAAAGAGAUGUGACUGCUAGCCUACCACCAGGUGCAAGGCAGUUAAAGCAUGAAUAAAGAGAAUCACUUAGAGGAGUUGCAGAUUA
Long non-coding RNA from Rosa rugosa (rugosa rose), 1578 nucleotides. RefSeq lists it as uncharacterized. The transcript is spliced from 3 exons. The record is from RefSeq and is a predicted model, not a curated record. Lineage: Eukaryota; Viridiplantae; Streptophyta; Magnoliopsida; Rosales; Rosaceae.